UGGAUCACCUCCUAACAGGGAGACAACAAAAUGUUUAAUAUUAUUAUUUUGUCACCUUAGGUCGAUCGGUAUCUCACAUUCUUAAUUUAUUAAGGAUUUCAUUUCCUAAGUUUUUCUAGGUCACACCCAUUAUUUUCCCUGGGCCAUUAGCUCAGGUGGUUAGAGCGCACCCCUGAUAAGGGUGAGGUCCCUGGUUCAAGUCCAGGAUGGCCCAUAUCUCUAUGUUGGGGGUAUAGCUCAGUUGGUAGAGCGCCUGCUUUGCAAGCAGGAUGUCAGGAGUUCGAGUCUCCUAACCUCCGCUGACCGAACUCAAUCUCCGGUUUUGCAUUGAAAGAUGGAGAACCACUCGAUUGUGAAGUGUGAUUUAGAUGUGUCCGCUGGAUGACCCCAGCUUCCUGUCAUUCCAAAUCAAAGUAAAGGAUUUUACUUGAACGAAUUUGGUUGAUAAGAUGCUGGGCUCGAUUUCAGUGAUCAAGAGAUUGGUCAUUGAAUUUGAAGUCUGGCAGAACCUUGACAACUGCAUAGGUAAGUCUGGAAAAACAAAGCAUCUUACAGAUGCAUUGUUUUGAAUCUGAUCUUCUGAAAGGGAGAUUAGAUCUAGAACAAUGAAAAUUCUUUUGAGCAAGAGCCGAGACUCUUGAAUGUUCUUUGAUUGGUGUCGAGCCAAUCAGAGUUUGAUCUUGUUUUUAGCAAUAAAAACUUGAGAAUCUGCUUUCAACGGCGGUAAGCGUUCAGGAGGUUAAUUGGUCAAGCUACAAAGGGCUCACGGCGGAUACCUUGGCACACAGAGGCGAUGAAGG
Molecule: transfer RNA, 800 nt
Filed under: uncultured Synechococcus sp.
Lineage: Bacteria; Bacillati; Cyanobacteriota; Cyanophyceae; Synechococcales; Synechococcaceae
Description: partial contains 16S ribosomal RNA, 16S-23S ribosomal RNA intergenic spacer, and 23S ribosomal RNA
Rfam family: tRNA (bases 141-214)
Source: RNAcentral